RNAcentral lists this ribosomal RNA (254 nucleotides) under uncultured bacterium. RNAcentral describes it as "partial 16S ribosomal RNA". It matches the Rfam family "Bacterial small subunit ribosomal RNA", at positions 524 to 777 of the family's 1533-position model. The record is from RNAcentral.
UACGUAGGGGGCAAGCGUUGUCCGGAUUUAUUGGGCGUAAAGAGCGUGUAGGCGGCUUGGAAGGUUAGCUGUGAAAACUCGAGGCUCAACCUCGAGACGUCGGUUGAAACCACCUGGCUAGAGUCCGGAAGAGGAGAGUGGAAUUCCCGGUGUAGCGGUGAAAUGCGCAGAUAUCGGGAAGAACACCCGUGGCUAAGGCGGUUCUCUAGUACGGUACUGACGCUGAGACGCGAAAGCGUGGGGAGCGAACGAGG